GUUUAAGGAUCUGAUCGAACAAUAUUUUUCACACCGACUUAUAUUUUAACAGUUAUUUUUAUGAAUCAAAAGCAUUAUAGGGGGUCUGCUAGACAUGCUCUAACAGUUACGAAAGAGAAAAUACGAUCCGAACCCGAGUACUGGAAAACCCGUUCGCGAUUCCAGCCCGACCCGACCGUACCCGUUAUAGUUACCAAACUUUCGUGCGCCGCGGCCUC
Molecule: long non-coding RNA, 218 nt
Filed under: Hordeum vulgare
Lineage: Eukaryota; Viridiplantae; Streptophyta; Magnoliopsida; Poales; Poaceae
Description: long non-coding RNA (HVUL_LNC020178)
Source: RNAcentral